UCCUUUAUAUUAUGGAUGGCCUGAUUGUUAUGGACAAUUGUUUUGAAACGGUUUCUAUUACAUGGACAGCAUUCCAAAACCAAACAUUUUUAACCAGCUACAAACACUGAGUGAUAUCAUCCAGAAGCAGCAAAAUGAAGGGUUAUGAUUUCAAAUUUAUAAGACGAUCAAGGCUGUUCAAGGAAUGCAGUUCUGCCACACAAGACAAGUGGACAACAGUUCAUUGGUGGCAACAGACUGGCUAUAUGCCUCAAGUCCCACACUGUGAUGUCAGGAGCCCCUUAUACCUACUUCCCUGAGAGCCAGGACUGUCAUAAAAUAAAGAGCGAUGAACAAUUAAUGGGCGACAUCACAAACAUGUUCCAAUCAGAGCUGGUUAUGGCAGGGAUUACACAAUCAUUCAAAGUCUUUCAGCCUUCUCUGUGGCUAAAACAAGAACUAAAUCC
Long non-coding RNA from Cyprinus carpio (common carp), 446 nucleotides. RefSeq lists it as uncharacterized. The transcript is spliced from 4 exons. Lineage: Eukaryota; Metazoa; Chordata; Actinopteri; Cypriniformes; Cyprinidae. The record is from RefSeq and is a predicted model, not a curated record.